GCGGCGCACAAUUAGCCCAGCGUCGUCCAGGUUAGGGGAGGGUUUGGCCGGGGUAAAUAAGAAUUUGUUCUUAACUGGCUUGCCUAGGUAAAAAAAGGUAAAAUAGGUAAUUUUACUCAGGCAUUUCAACGGUGGUGGCGCACAGUAAUAGGGAGCCAGGCAGACAUGCUUUUAACCAUAUCCCCAAUGUUAAUCUUGAAAUAUAGCCUAACUGCUACGUUAUUCUCGAAAUUAAAUGUCGAGUUUACUUUCGAAAUAUUGUCACUUUAUUAACUACAUUUAAUUUCGACUUCUCGAAAUAUUGCCACUUUUUUAAAGGGCUAUCAUGCAAAAAAUGAUCCAAGUAUCACCCCAUGUCGCAGUUUUUCUUUUUCUCUUCACUUGGAUUUGAUACUCUUCCGUAGAUUAGAGCACACCUCUAAUACUUUGAAAUCGAAAUCUUACUCGGUGAGUCAGUCUGCACAGGCAUUGUAUCGGGCAGCCCUAUCACCGGUAAGAGGUUGAGUUAGGACCCAGCAUGCCAACCCAGCAGAAGUGUUGUUCUUUAGUGAUAUUAGAUUAUUCUUACGGUUUAAUCAAUUGAAGAUUCAUCACAGAAAUGGAGACAGAUAUUAUUGACUCACUGGAAGAUCUGGGGUACCAAGGCCCUCUGUUGGAGGAUGGAGCACUGGAGGCUGCGGUGAGCGGGGGAGCAGCAGCACCAGAGUUCACCAAGGUGUGUGCCUGGAUCGUCUCAGAGCUCAAGCUCUACUGUCAGCUGGAGGAGAAUGUCCAUGCCACCAACUGUCCCAGUGAGGCAGAGGGGUUCCAGCUGGAGAUGAGUGGUCUUCUGUCUGAGCUGGCCUGUCCUUACAAUGUCCUCACCACAGGAGAUGUCACCCAGAGGCUGCUCAACAAGACAAACUGCCUACUGCUCAUCACCUUUCUGAUCUCGGAGCUGGAGGCCUCCAGGAUGAUCCUGGUCAACAAGCCUCAGAAGGCAGCCCAGGAGGCCGGGGGCAGUGUUGUCUUUAUGGAGCUGAAGGGGAUCUGUGUGUCCCUGGGCAUGUCCAAACCCCCAGCCAACAUCACAAUGUUCCAGUUUUUCAGUGGGAUCGAGAAGAAGCUGAAAGAAGCUCUAGCCAAAGUGCCAUCAACUCAUGUUGGGGGUCCUCUGAUGAAGAAGCCACUUGGACCAGUUCACUUUGAAAAAAUCGAAGCCAUCAAUCAAGCACUUGUGAAUGAGUAUGAAGUCCGAAGGAAGAUGUUAUUGAAACGUCUUGACGUGACAGUUCAGUCCUUCGGUUGGUCUGACAAAGCUAAGAAACAUGCUGAAAAGCUGGCCAAUGUAUACCCGCCUCUGCGUUCAACCCUCGCCACAAAGAGCAAAGUCUCGGUGGCUCACCUCUUUGCUGCACGAGAGGACCUCUCCAAGAUUAUGCGCACAAGUAGUGGCAGGAUAAGGGAGAAGACUGCUUGUGCCAUUAACAAGGUUCUGAUGGGACGUGUGCCAGACAGAGGUGGGCGACCCACUGAGAUUGAGGCCCCCCCACCAGAGAUGCCCACCUGGCAGAAGAGGCAAGACGGUCCACAGGGAGGUGGACACUAUGGCGGGGGUGGACGAGGAGGCAGCAGGGGGGGCUACGACCAACACUCUCAGGGGGGCCGAGGGGGUUACGAGCGAGGAGGGGGUUAUGAAAGGGGCGGGAGGGGUGGAGGAGGGGGUGGCAGAGGGGGCAAGGUGCAGGGAGGCUGGUCGGACGGAGGAGGAGGAGGAGGAGGAGGAGGAGGAGGAGGUGGUGGUGGUGGUGGUGGUUACCAAGGUCAUUACCAGGAAGGAGGUGGCCACCAAGCGGGUGGGGGGAGAGGAGGUUAUGGGGGUGGAAAAUUUCAAGGGGGCUUCCAGGGCCCUGGUUACCCUGCAGGAGGGCAUCAAGGCGGAGGAGGGGGCGGAGGAGGUGGUUACCAACAUGACAACCACAAUCAAGAUGGCGGUCGCCACCAGGACAGGGGUGGCCGAGGGGGUCGCGGGGGUAGGGGAAGAGGUGAUGGUAGAGGAAGAGGUGAUGGUAGGGGAAGAGGACAGGGGGGAGGUUGGGGAGGGCGAGGGGGUCAGAAUUUGAACCAAGGAGGACAGUUUGAACAGUUCUUCCAGCAGGGUGGCCAGCAGUACAAUCAAGCAGGCUUUAGCCAGGGGAGCAAAAACUACACUAGUUGAAAAGAAAGUGCAGGCCACUGAAGCAGAGAUCAUGCAAGAGCCAUGAAGUGAAAACGCCUUAUUUUCUAAAUGUGAAUAUUAAUAUAAAGCAUGGUUAUUAUAAUUUCUUCCCUAAACCGAAUAAGAAUGUGGAGAGUGACCAUGUCUCCAACAGAAGAGAAAAGUCCAAGUCAUGCAUGACAUGAGAGCUCAAACAAACCAGACUUUUCCACAAUUCCAUGGCUGUUAACAAAUGACUGUUCCCAUGUGUUCUUUUGCAUAUGUGAGUGCUUUUGUGUUUAUGCUGUGUUCCACUAUCUUGCCACAUGAAAGUUAAAGCCAAUGUUUGCCAUUGUAACACCUAAAUUAUAAAGCCUUAUCUUGAAGAUUAUUUGAAAGAGGAGUUGAAUGUCAUGUAACUACAUAUGAUAAGGUGACAAUUGUGGAAGUAUUGUAGUCCAUCCUUAGUUAAUUUAAUUAAUACUUGAAAAGAAACGAGCUUUAUUUCUCCCUUUUUUUUUUUUUUUGUAAGCUUUGGUUUACAUUAUUGUUACUAGGAAUGGGUUAAAAAUAAGCUUGAGCCUCAAAUGUUUUGCUGUUGCAAAUAGUUUUGACUGGUAUCUCCUCUAUUACUUAUUUAAAAUAUGCCACCUAAUGAUGCUUAUAAACAAAAUUGUGUACAUACUUGGAUGUAAGAAAGACUACUUGGAAGUGUGAAUGAAUGAGAGGUGAGCAAUAAAAUCUAAUGGAUUUAACAUGCCUGUCAUCUUUAUUUGGUCAUGCUUUCAGAUUUAAUUGUGACCAGUAUUUUGUACAUAAUUUGAAAACCAGUGGACUCACAUUAGCUCCACAUCAAUUAAUGAUUGAUCAUAAUGUAAUCAAAGAGGAAAGUAUAAAAACGUGCUGUAAUGCUAUAGCUAAUCCUUGGUCCAGGGUGGGCUUUUAUUUUGAAAUACAGGAUACCGGAUGUUGUACACUUUACAGCUUGAAGUUCUUCCGCUUUCAUUCACCCGCCAGCUACUUCAAAGCAAGCGAACUAACGAGUAAAUGUUUGUUUUUACAUUCGGGGUUUCCCUGAUAAGUAUUGAUAUCUAGCAUUCAUUUAAUUGCCGUCAUCAUUUGACGGCAACAAUGUUUCGUGGUUUUCACAAUCCCGGAGAACUUCACCGGGGCCCUGCUCCCUUAGGCCACCCAUCCCAUGUACAGCCACCCGGUCCCAGCUACGGAGGGCCCUUUGGCCCGCCACCCCACGUUCCACUGCCUGGACACUUUCCUCCUGGAUCUUGUCAUCCUUUCUUACCUCCCGGAUCGGGAAGUGAAUACCUCCACAGGCCAAUGAGGGAACAUUAUAUCAAUACUCCACACUGCAGCAGUUAUUCCAUUGACCGCAGCACAGUGAUCAGUCUGGGUAGUCAACAGAUUCUCCCACCAGACACACAGCAUCUUCAGAUGCCACAGUGGCCCACCAAUCCUUUGGAAUCAUGCCAAAGAGACAAGAGUGAGAACUUGACUGCUGGUGAAGAAUUCCUCAGAUGCCUUGCGGCUAAUAAGCCAGUCCCUGACUUCCUCAAAGGAGUCAACCUGUUGGACGCAGGGAAGGUAGUCAAGGCACCAGGUGUACCAGAAGACCGGGGUUAUGAGAGGCAGAGACUCCGGAGCAAAUCUCGCAGUCCAGCGAAGGAAAGCAGGGGCAGGAGCAAGAGCCGAGCAAAGAGCCAGGUAAGAAGCAAGAGCCGGGCAAGAAGCAAGAGCUGUCCGCGCAGCAGAAGUCGUACCCGAGGGAAAAGCCGGGCAAGAAGCAGGAGUCGCAGUCGUGGAAAGAGCCAGGUCAGAAGCAAGAGCAAGGCUCGUAGUAGGAGCCGGAGCCGAGGGAAAAGUCGGGCAAGGAGCAAAAGCAGAUCAAGGAGUAGGAGUCGCAGCUAUGGAAAGAGCCGGGGCAGGUUGGACCAUCAUUCAGACCACAGGGACAAAAGGAGCCCCAUUCGGAGCAGUAGCAGCAGGAUCAGUAAUCACUCCUCCGCACACAAUGACCUGCUCGAGGGCCUGAAACGGGUUAUGAACAGCAAGCAACUGGAGGACAGUAUGCCUUCCAUCAAGAAUGCCAUUCUCACAAUACAGGCCAAUAACUUUAGCAGAGAUAUCCAGAGCAACUGUCUUCCAUGUGGACCAGUCUUGGCCAGCAGACAGGAAUUUCUUCAAGCCUCAGAUGGGCCUAAGCCAGUCAGCAGACAGGAGGAGACCGACAGCAAUCUUCUCCCCCACGAGAGAGUGGGCUGUGACUUCUCCUGGCUGCAGGGCACCAGGGAGGUCUCACCUGUUCAGAAGCCGGAGGAGGUCGAGGAUGAGGAGAACUUCCUCUAUGGGAAUGAGGAUAACCAGUCAAAACAACGCCCUGCCACCCUGCCUUUUGCACAGUCCACAUCCAUUACCCAGCAGAGCGAUGCAGAGAUCUCCCCAGCAGGCCCACCCUACUAUCAAAGCCAGCCUCUGUUCGGGAACCAUGGUGAAGUCCAGGAGUUCAAGAUGCCUCCUCAACCGGUCCAGUCUAGUGUGAGGCCUGAGCAGAGGGUGCAGCCUGUUCCUGCUCCUGAUGUGAAGCCCACCCCCACUGUGAAGGAAUGUGAGGAGUUCAAGGCCAUGUUGAAGAACAUUGGGCUGAAUCUGGGCACAUCAGAGAUCAGUAAGAUGAUGGUCAAGCUGCAGCAACAGAAGGAGGGGAAGAUGCCAGAGCAGAAGAGGGAGGAGAAAGUGCCAUCACCAGCACCAGUGCUGCCUCUUCCUCUUGUAGUUGGGGCAUCACAGGAGCCCAGACUGGCCUCGCCAGCACCCGGGGCAGCACUCGGGACAGCACCAAUACGACAAGCAUUGGAGUCAUUACAGUUCAUUAUUAAAGCAACAAGGGAGAAAAGGGCCAAUAGUGAUCCACAUGAUGGCAACCAUUCCCAGAGGAAUUCAGACAAACAGAAGAGCAAAGAUGACGAGGAGAGUCAGAGGAGAUCGAGACAGGACCAAAUGAAAAGGAAAGACACUCUUGUGAAGGAACUGGAGGAAUUGCUAAAGCAGGAUGGGUCUACCUUUUUGAUUCCGGUCAUCGGGUUCUACUGUCAGAGGUGUGAGGAGUUCUUCGGAGACCUGACCACUGCUGAGGGCCAUGCUGCAACCCACCGGCGGAAUGAGCCUAGCAUGCAGCAGCAUGGAGACAGACGACCUGGAGAGGACAGAAGACACCCUAGCCAUUACAUCGGGCACCCCCUGGCUCCAGAGCGGAGGGACCAGAGAGACCCAAGAGAUCAGAGGUAUCGCAAACUAGACGAGGGCCCAAAGGGUUACAGGAACGACAGGGAGAAGAUCUACGUGAAAGAGGAACGACCUGGAAGCCCCAGGAUAAAGAUGACGGUGGUCCGCGGGCACACCCCACCAGGUCUGCAGAAGGCCAGGGGGAGAGAGGAGGGGAGGGUGGAUAAGGGCUCUUGUGCUGCUUCCUCUGGCCCUGCCAGUGGGAAAUAUGAUAGGGUCAAACUGGAGGAGGUGGAGACCAAAGGAAAGCCCAACGUGGAAGUAUGUGACAAAGAUAAAGGAGAAAGCAGUUCUAGCAGUGAUGACGAGAAAGACAAAUCUCCUAAAGGCAACAAAAAGAAAAAGAAGAAGGAGAAGAAGAAGAAGAAGAAGAAGAAGCAAAGGGGUUAGAAGUAAUAGCUGCUGUACUGCAUGUCCUGGUUUGAUUGUACUGUAUCUCUGGAGGACCUGGCCUUGGGUCAUUGUUUGGCAUCAUUGCAGCUGUUUUCAGAAGUUGGUGCUUUUAACAUUAGAAAGAAGCAGUGUUCCUCUGAUUUGUUCUCUCCUUUUGGGGUUGUCUUUUUUUUCCAACAAACUGUGUUCCUCUGUUGUAGUGGAUAACAGGACAUUUUCAUUGAAUGCUGUUGGAGGACAGGACGUUCCAGGGUGCAUAUGCAGCAUUUAUGAUGUCCAGAAUCAUUUUGCUGCCAGCUACUGAUCCUAUUGUUCAGACCUUUAGUUACUGUAGAUGUGCAUUAAAUAACCCUCCUUAUAUUGGGCCAUGUUUGUGUAUAUUUCACCCAGUACAACCUUGAUUUAGUGCUUCAAGUACUAUCAAAUGUACUUUUGCCAUUUAAAGGUCAACUGCCAUUUGAAGCGUGUGCUGUCUUUCUUCCUAAUGUUAAACCGUUGAGAUGGAAUUAUUCUGUAAUGAAGAAAUUUUUAUACAUUGUCCUCUUAUUUAGGUCUCAGCAAUUGAUGGCGCAAGGCUAUUUGCAAGCGCACAUGUGCUUGCCAAAGUCAUUGGAUCCUAUCAGGAUAGGAACAGUUGACAUGUUUUUGUAAGGUGAUCACUUUUUUUUUUUUGUCUGCUGUUGCUCACUCUCACUUCCUCUUUCUCACACACUAGGCAUUUCCAUUGAUCCAGGUUUAUUCGACAAAAGCAAUGUCAGGGGAAAAAAAUAUUCUGCCGUGUAAUAGAAACGGCAGAUAUAGGAGACAUUUUAAAGCUCGACAACAUUUUUAUCCAUUCGAUAGGGUUCUAUUUUUCUUUUGUUGAACUUUCUUUACUGCAACUAAUGAGGGAAACUGUUUUCGAAUAAAUGUUGAUUGUAAAAUACUUUUGAAGGUACGCUGGGCAUGUGAUGUCAUCACAUAGCUAUAGUCUCCACUCCUAAAUGCCUACUGCUUGCAAAAUAAGUUUUCUAUUAAGCUAAAUAUGGAAUUGUUUUAAGAUGGUCAUACCAUGGAUCAUUUAGCAAUUUGAAUUUUAUGACCCCUUUAGGUAAUCAAAAAUAUUUAGUGAUUUGAUAAAAUAUUUCAUUUCACCUCUAUUACUCUAGCCCAUAGAAACACAUUGAAUAACACAAUAAAUGUCAUAAGACAGUCAGGGAAUAAGGUUUUAAAGUGUCUGUCCUAGAUAUACGAAAGCUCAGGAAAUAGUUUAGUUUAGAAAGUAUUCAUACCCCUUGAUUUAUUCCACAUUUUGUUGUGCCUGAAUUAAACAAAACUAAAAAUAAUUCUCACCCAUCUACACACAAUACCCCAUAAUGACAAAGUGAAAACAUGUUUUUAGAAAUGUGCAAAUUUAUUGAAAAUUAAAUAUAGAAAUGUCUCAUUUACAUACACUACCGUUCAAAAGUUUGGGGUCACUUAGAAAUGUCCUUGUUUUUGAAAGAAAAGAAAAAAAAAUGGUCCAUUAAAAUAACAUCAAAUUGAUCAGAAAUACAAUGUAAAAAUUGUU
This 7415-nucleotide long non-coding RNA is filed under the name Salmo salar (Atlantic salmon). RNAcentral's name for it is "lncRNA (ENSSSAG00000055355.2)". The record is from RNAcentral. Lineage: Eukaryota; Metazoa; Chordata; Actinopteri; Salmoniformes; Salmonidae.